AGUUGACUAAAUCACAUGAUUGUACCAAAGGUUUAAAGUAUAGUUUUUAAGGAAUGGAUUUUCUUUAUCAUUUAUUCUUCUCAUGUGCUAUAUCAGUCUCACCAUUAUAUAAAAAAAUGUGAGAUGAGUAUAGUUUUUAAGGAAUGGAUUUUCUUUAUCAUUUAUUCUUCUCAUGUGCUAUAUCAGUCUCACCAUUAUAUAAAAAAAUGUGAGAUGAGUUUUAAAUAUAAUAAAUGAAAAGAAAAUUAAAAUGA
RNAcentral lists this long non-coding RNA (254 nucleotides) under Lathyrus oleraceus (garden pea). RNAcentral's name for it is "Pisum sativum (pea) long non-coding RNA (PSAT_LNC010767)". Lineage: Eukaryota; Viridiplantae; Streptophyta; Magnoliopsida; Fabales; Fabaceae. The record is from RNAcentral.